AGUCAUAUGCUUGUCUCAAAGAUUAAGCCAUGCAUGUCUAAGUAUAAGCAAUUAUACCGCGAAACUGCGAAUGGCUCAUUAUAUAAGUUAUCGUUUAUUUGAUAGCACGUUUCUACUUGGAUAACCGUGGUAAUUCUAGAGCUAAUACAUGCUGAAAGUCCCGACUUCGGAAGGGAUGUAUUUAUUAGAUUAAAAACCGAUGCCCUCUGGGCUUGCGGGUGAUUCAUGAUAACUUCUCGAAUCGCAUGGCCUUGCGCCGGCGAUGGUUCAUUCAAAUUUCUUCCCUAUCAACUUUCGAUGCGAAGGUCUUGUCCUCGCAUGGUUACAACGGGUAACGGAGGGUUAGGGCUCGACCCCGGAGAAGGAGCCUGAGAGACGGCUACUACAUCCAAGGAAGGCAGCAGGCGCGCAAAUUACCCAAUCCCGACGCGGGGAGGUAGUGACAAUAAAUACUGAUACAGGGCUCUUUUGGGUCUUGUAAUUGGAAUGAGUACAAUUUAAAUCCCUUAACGAGGAACAAUUGGAGGGCAAGUCUGGUGCCAGCAGCCGCGGUAAUUCCAGCUCCAAUAGCGUAUAUUAAAGUUGUUGUGGUUAAAAAGCUCGUAGUUGAACCUUGGGCCUGGCUGGCCGGUCCCCCUCACCGGGUGCACUGAUCCAGCCGGGUCUUUCCCUCUGCGGAACCCCAUGUCCUUCACUGGUCGUGGCGGGGAAGCAGGACUUUUACUUUGAAAAAAUUAGAGUGCUCCAGGCAGGCCUAUGCUCGAAUACAUUAGCAUGGAAUAAUGGAAUAGGACGCGUGGUUCUAUUUUGUUGGUUUCUAGGACCGCCGUAAUGAUUAAUAGGGACAGUCGGGGGCAUCAGUAUUCAAUUGUCAGAGGUGAAAUUCUUGGAUCUAUUGAAGACUAACUACUGCGAAAGCAUUUGCCAAGGAUGUUUUCAUUGAUAAGGAACGAAAGUUAGGGGAUCGAAAACGAUCAGAUACCGUUGUAGUCUUAACUAUAAACUAUGCCGACUAGGGAUCGGACGAUGUUAUUCUUUGACUCGUUCGGCACCUUUCGAGAAAUCAAAGUGCUUGGGCUCCAGGGGGAGUAUGGUCGCAAGGCUGAAA
This 1108-nucleotide ribosomal RNA is filed under the name Corollospora lacera. RNAcentral's name for it is "SSU rRNA". It matches the Rfam family "Eukaryotic small subunit ribosomal RNA", at positions 21 to 1142 of the family's 1831-position model. Lineage: Eukaryota; Fungi; Ascomycota; Sordariomycetes; Microascales; Halosphaeriaceae. The record is from RNAcentral.